ACGAACGCUGGCGGCGUGCCUAAUACAUGCAAGUCGAGCGAAGUUUUUCUGGUGCUUGCACUAGAAAAACUUAGCGGCGAACGGGUGAGUAACACGUAGAGAACCUGCCUCAUAGACUGGGACAACUAUUGGAAACGAUAGCUAAUACCGGAUAACAGCAUUAACUGCAUGGUUGAUGUUUAAAAGUUGGUUUUGCUAACACUAUGAGACGGCUUUGCGGUGCAUUAGCUAGUUGGUGGGGUAAAGGCCUACCAAGGCGACGAUGCAUAGCCGACCUGAGAGGGUGAUCGGCCACACUGGGACUGAGACACGGCCCAGACUCCUACGGGAGGCAGCAGUAGGGAAUCUUCCGCAAUGGGCGAAAGCCUGACGGAGCAACGCCGCGUGAGUGAAGAAGGAUUUCGGUUCGUAAAGCUCUGUUGUUAGGGAAGAAUGAUUGUGUAGUAACUAUACACAGUAG
Molecule: ribosomal RNA, 460 nt
Filed under: Gemella haemolysans
Lineage: Bacteria; Bacillati; Bacillota; Bacilli; Caryophanales; Gemellaceae
Description: bacterial SSU rRNA
Rfam family: Bacterial small subunit ribosomal RNA
Source: RNAcentral